RNAcentral lists this transfer RNA (76 nucleotides) under Thermaerobacter sp. Its description in RNAcentral is "tRNA-Arg". It matches the Rfam family "tRNA". From Rfam's summary of the family: Transfer RNA (tRNA) molecules are approximately 80 nucleotides in length. Their secondary structure includes four short double-helical elements and three loops (D, anti-codon, and T loops). Lineage: Bacteria; Bacillati; Bacillota; Clostridia; Eubacteriales; Clostridiales Family XVII. Incertae Sedis. The record is from RNAcentral.
GCCCCAGUAGCUCAGUGGUCAGAGCAUCCGGUUUCUACCCGGAGUGCCGGGGGUUCGAAUCCUCCCUGGGGCGCCA